This 8484-nucleotide long non-coding RNA is filed under the name Citrus x clementina. RNAcentral's name for it is "Citrus clementina (C. clementina) long non-coding RNA (CCLE_LNC004747)". The record is from RNAcentral. Lineage: Eukaryota; Viridiplantae; Streptophyta; Magnoliopsida; Sapindales; Rutaceae.
UUUUUUAUUGAAAACCACCCGGAGGUGGGGGGUUAGGCGGGACCCCUACCAGUAGAUAAAACAAAAAACAAAUUACAAAUACUGGAGGGGGACAUGAACCAAACCUCCAGAGAAAAAUGAAAACAUCAAACAGACAAAAAGAAAAGUACAAUGAAAAUAUAAAAUCAAUAUCGGCGGCGUCUUCGGUUCAUCUUGAAGCCCUUCCGAGGAGUGACUUCAGUAAAACCCUCCGUAGAAGUGACAAUUCUUUGCCCACCCAAUUUCGCGAUGACUGUCUCUUCCAUAAUCUCUGAGUCUGAAAUGCCUAUACGGACAUCAACAGGAACGUCAUCACUGGAGUUGCUGUAAUCCUCGAUCCGAUGGCUCGUUCCAAUUCUAUCUUUUGAAGUGUUGGGUGCAGGAGAUACCUCAGGGACAUCAGUGGAUUCGGUAUUGAGAGUGCAUAUCGGCGCAGCAUCAUAUGGAGCAUAUGGGAGUGUCAAAACUUCUGUAGAAGUAAUGUCUGGAAAUGUAUCACAAGAACUGACCGUCUGCCAAGAUGAGCUGCGGUAAAAUCGCCCUUGAUGGCGAUAAGGAUCCCAAGCAGGCGUCGCACGAUAAAUGAGGUCACCGGCUGUCGUUCCCACACGAGCGGCAUGAUCACCACUCAACGGCAGAAGAGCUGCAAGAGGUGUAGGAGUAAUGGCCGUAGAAUCAGCACUAGUAACAGCAGGAACGAGGUCACUGCACAUGGGCUCAGGAGAGGCACACACAACUGAAGGCAGAGUGACUGUGCUCGGGGGAGGGAUCUCAGCAACAGCAGGAAGAUCAGCAAUGAUAACUGGUGUUGCUUCAGUAGUAGUAACUUCAUUUGGUGCUUCACUGGUUUCUGCACCGGUGGUAGGAACAUUUUGAACAAUCGGAGUAACAACUGUUGCCGCUUCUGUUGUUGCUGCAUUCUGGUUUCUGUUAUCGGCUUUCGGAACGUACUGAGUCUUCAUAGGUUCCUUUGACUUGUUACCCUCUCCAUCCGGAACAACAUUUUGCCGAACUGGGCCGGAACGGUCUGAUUUCCGCAACUCGGGUUUGUUGAUGUAGCAGGUGUCAUCAGAGUGGCCCACAUGCUUGCAGGCAGCACAAUACCGAGGCACUUUUUCGAAGAUGAUAUACUGCCAAAACCCAGUGUCUUUUUCCCCAAUCCAUAACCUCUUCAAUAAAGGCCUAGAAAUGUCAUACUCAAUGAGGACUCUGGCAACAGUAGGCCUACUGACCGAGGCGGUGGCAUGAUCGAUCCGAAGAGGUUUCCCGAUGGCAGCAGCAAUGGAAUACAGAGCCUCUUUGCAUCUCAUGUAGUGGACCGGUAAAAACGGCAAGGAGACCCAUAUCGGAACAAUCGGCGACUCUUCCGAACAAUGAAAAGUUGUGGACCAUUUGAAGACCCUCAUAGCUCGGCCAUCAAUAAACCAGGACUGGCGGAGCCAGAUUCUCGUAUAGUCCUCUUCCAGGUGCAGUUGGAUAAGGAUGUGUCGAGGAUCCAAUAAUGAAAUUUCAACAUUUCCUUUCAAGCCAAGAGCCACAAAAAAUUUACGGAUAACAUCAAUAGGGGGGCGGCCGAAAGAAAACUUACCCACUAAAGCGAGCUUGAAUGGUGCGGCCAUGAUGUUAAUUUCUUCCUCGGUGAAAAAAAUGGCCGGCUCACCUCUAUGGGUGGAAGAUUGCCUGAAGGCAAUGGCUGGAGCAGCUCUUUGAGACCCAGCAGCGGCAUCCACAAACGAUUUACAGGGCCGAGCAGUGGGCGAUUUUGCCGCCAUUUGAGCAAACGAUGGAAGCGGCGGAAACUCCAAUGAAGUAGCCGGAUGGCUACCGGCCAUGGCCAGAGAAGCCAUUCGGGCCGAGCUGCGCGACGGGAGACCCCGGGAGAAAAAUGCUCAAAAUCCCAAGUUCUGUGAAUAGUACCCUGAAAUCACUGUAGCAAACAGGUACUGUAGCGAUCACGGGUACUGUAGCAACGGGUACUGUAGAGAUCAAUGGCACUGUAGCAAUGAUGAACAAAAUACUGUAGCAAGAAGAACAGCACUGUAGCAGGAAUAGUAAAUCCGAAAUUCAAAUUAUCGUGUAGGCUUCAAAUCACCUCCAAAAUGCUCAUAUAAGGUAUGGAAACGUAGAUCGGUGAGAGGGGAACAAUUCUGAGGGGGAGGUGAGAGUUCACUCGCCGGAAAUUUGACCGGAUCUAGGAUUUAGAUAUCGGCACUAUUCAUUGAAUAGUAAACCGAAACUUCAAAGCUUGAUCGGGUAUUCAAAUCAACUCCAAAAUCCCCAAUAAACACACGGAAAUGUAGAUCAAUGAAGGAUGAAUAUGUUUAAGAGGGAGGUGUGAGCUUACUUGCCGGAAAAUGUGGUCGGAAAACCGAAACUAGCAUUCGGGUACUGUAGCACGCAUAGUAUUCCGACUUCACUUCAAUCUUUCAAGCUCCAAACGUGCACCAAAAUUUCCAAGCAACAUAUCAAAUCGAAGGGAAUUCAAAGGACGACGUGCUGGAAGUGGAGGUGUAUAUUCACUCGCCGGAAAAAUGGCCGGAAAGUGGAAUUAAAGGCUCGGCAUCACAGUAGCGGUUGAGAGAAAAUUGUCACUGUAGCAAAACGCUACUGUAGCAGAUUAGGGAAUAAUGGGGUUGGUUGGUUUAGGGUUUAGGGUUUAGGGUUUAGGGUUUAGGGUUUAGGGUUUAGGGUUUUAGGGUUUAGGGUUUAGGGUUUAGGGUUUAGGGUUGGGUUAGGCGGGACCCCUACCAGUAGAUAAAACAAAAAACAAAUUACAAAUACUGGAGGGGGACAUGAACCAAACCUCCAAAGAAAAAUGAAAACAACAAACAGACAAAAAGAAAAGUACAAUGAAAAUAUAAAAUCAAUAUCGGCGGCGUCUUCGGUUCAUCUUGAAGCCCUUCCGAGGAGUGACUUCAGUAAAACCCUCCGUAGAAGUGACAAUUCUUUGCCCACCCAAUUUCGCGAUGACGGUCUCUUCCAUAAUCUCUGAGUCUGAAAUGCCUAUACGGACAUCAACAGGACCGUCAUCACUGGAGUUGCUGUAAUCCUCGAUCCGAUGGCUCGUUCCAAUUCUAUCUUUUGAAGUGUUGGGUGCAGGAGAUACCUCAGGGACAUCAGUGGAUUCGGUAUUGAGAGUGCAUAUCGGCGCAGCAUCAUAUGGAGCAUAUGGGAGUGUCAAAACUUCUGUAGAAGUAAUGUCUGGAAAUGUAUCACAAGAACUGACCGUCUGCCAAGAUGAGCUGCGGUAAAAUCGCCCUUGAUGGCGAUAAGGAUCCCAAGCAGGCGUCGCACGAUAAAUGAGGUCACCGGCUGUCGUUCCCACACGAGCGGCAUGAUCACCACUCAACGGCAGAAGAGCUGCAAGAGGUGUAGGAGUAAUGGCCGUAGAAUCAGCACUAGUAACAGCAGGAACGAGGUCACUGCACAUGGGCUCAGGAGAGGCACACACAACUGAAGGCAGAGUGACUGUGCUCGGGGGAGGGAUCUCAGCAACAGCAGGAAGAUCAGCAAUGAUAACUGGUGUUGCUUCACUAGUAGUAACUUCAUUUGGUGCUUCACUGGUUUCUGCACCGGUGGUAGGAACAUUUUGAACAAUCGGAGUAACAACUGUUGCCGCUUCUGUUGUUGCUGCAUUCUGGUUUCUGUUAUCGGCUUUCGGAACGUACUGAGUCUUCAAAGGUUCCUUUGACUUGUUACCCUCUCCAUCCGGAACAACAUUUUGCCGAACUGGGCCGGAACGGUCUGAUUUCCGCAACUCGGGUUUGUUGAUGUAGCAGGUGUCAUCAGAGUGGCCCACAUGCUUGCAGGCAGCACAAUACCGAGGCACUUUUUCGAAGAUGAUAUACUGCCAAAACCCAGUGUCUUUUUCCCCAAUCCAUAACCUCUUCAAUAAAGGCCUAGAAAUGUCAUACUCAAUGAGGACUCUGGCAACAGUAGGCCUACUGACCGAGGCGGUGGCAUGAUCGAUCCGAAGAGGUUUCCCGAUGGCAGCAGCAAUGGAAUACAGAGCCUCUUUGCAUCUCAUGUAGUGGACCGGUAAAAACGGCAAGGAGACCCAUAUCGGAACAAUCGGCGACUCUUCCGAACAAUGAAAAGUUGUGGACCAUUUGAAGACCCUCAUAGCUCGGCCAUCAAUAAACCAGGACUGGCGGAGCCAGAUUCUCGUAUAGUCCUCUUCCAGGUGCAGUUGGAUAAGGAUGUGUCGAGGAUCCAAUAAUGAAAUUUCAACAUUUCCUUUCAAGCCAAGAGCCACAAAAAAUUUACGGAUAACAUCAAUAGGGGGGCGGCCGAAAGAAAACUUACCCACUAAAGCGAGCUUGAAUGGUGCGGCCAUGAUGUUAAUUUCUUCCUCGGUGAAAAAAAUGGCCGGCUCACCUCUAUGGGUGGAAGAUUGCCUGAAGGCAAUGGCUGGAGCAGCUCUUUGAGACCCAGCAGCGGCAUCCACAAACGAUUUACAGGGCCGAGCAGUGGGCGAUUUUGCCGCCAUUUGAGCAAACGAUGGAAGCGGCGGAAACUCCAAUGAAGUAGCCGGAUGGCUACCGGCCAUGGCCAGAGAAGCCAUUCGGGCCGAGCUGCGCGACGGGAGACCCCGGGAGAAAAAUGCUCAAAAUCCCAAGUUCUGUGAAUAGUACCCUGAAAACACUGUAGCAAACAGGUACUGUAGCGAUCACGGGUACUGUAGCAACCGGUACUGUAGAGAUCAAUGGCACUGUAGCAAUGAUGAACAAAAUACUGUAGCAAGAAGAACAGCACUGUAGCAGGAAUAGUAAAUCCGAAAUUCAAAUUAUCGUGUAGGCUUCAAAUCACCUCCAAAAUGCUCAUAUAAGGUAUGGAAACGUAGAUCGGUGAGAGGGGAACAAUUCUGAGGGGGAGGUGAGAGUUCACUCGCCGGAAAUUUGACCGGAUCUAGGAUUUAGAUAUCGGCACUAUUCAUUGAAUAGUAAACCGAAACUUCAAAGCUUGAUCGGGUAUUCAAAUCAACUCCAAAAUCCCCAAUAAACACACGGAAAUGUAGAUCAAUGAAGGAUGAAUAUGUUUAAGAGGGAGGUGUGAGCUUACUUGCCGGAAAAUGUGGUCGGAAAACCGAAACUAGCAUUCGGGUACUGUAGCACGCAUAGUAUUCCGACUUCACUUCAAUCGUUCAAGCUCCAAACGUGCACCAAAAUUUCCAAGCAACAUAUCAAAUCGAAGGGAAUUCAAAGGACGACGUGCUGGAAGUGGAGGUGUAGAUUCACUCGCCGGAAAAUUGGCCGGAAAGUGGAAUUAAAGGCUCGGCAUCACUGUAGCGGUUGAGAGAAAAUUGUCACUGUAGCAAAACGCUACUGUAGCAGAUUAGGGAAUAAUGGUUUGGGUUUAGGGUUUAGGGUUUAGGGUUUAGGGUUUAGGGUUUAGGGUUUAGGGUUUAGGGUUUAGGGUUUAGGGUUUAGGGUUUAGGGUUUAGGGUUUAGGGUUUAGGGUUUAGGGUUUAGGGUUUAGGGUUUAGGGUUUAGGGUUUAGGGUUUAGGGUUUAGGGUUUAGGGUUUAGGGUUUAGGGUUUAGGGUUUAGGGUUUAGGGUUUAGGGUUUAGGGUUUAGGGUUUAGGGUUUAAGUUCGUCCAGCGGAAAAAGGCCACAAAAACGGGUGGGCUAUAGCUUGGGGGGGUGGGGCUGACCAACUUCAUCCGCCGGACUCGGAAUGGCAUUUAGGGUUUAGGGUUUAGGGUUUUUAGGGUUUAGGGUUUAGGGUUUAGGGUUUAGGGUUUAGGGUUUAGGGUUUUUUUUUUUAUUGAAAACCACCCGGAGGUGGGGGGUUAGGCGGGACCCCUACCAGUAGAUAAAAAGAAAGUAAAGGAAAAUAAAAUACAAUACUGGAGGGGGGCAUAGACCAAACCUCCAGAGCAAACAGCAAACAUCAACAAGACAAGUACAAUGAAAAUAUAAAAUCAAUAGUGGCGGCGUCUGCGGUUCAUCUUGAAGCCUUUCCGAGGAGUGACUUCAGUAAAACCCUCCGUAGAAGUGACAAUUCUUUGCCCACCCAAUUUCGCGAUGACUGUCUCUUCCAUAAUCUCUGAGUCUGAAAUGCCUAUACGGACAUUAACAUGAACGUCAUCAUCACUCGAGCUGGUGUAAUCCUCGUACAGAUAACUCUUUCCAAUUCUAUCUUUUGAAGUGUCGGGUGCAGGAGAUACCUCAGGGACAUCAGUGGAUUCAGUAUUAAGAGUGCAUAUCGGCGUAGCAUCAUGUGGAGCACAUUGGAUUGCCAAGACAUCGGUAGACGGAAUGUCUGGAAAAGUAUCACAUGAACUGGCCGUCUGCCAGGAUGAGCUGCGGUAAAAUCGCCCUUGAUGGCGAUAAGGAUCCCAAGCAGGCGUCGCACGAUAAAUGAGGUCACCGGCUGUCGUUCCCACACGAGCGGCAUGAUCACCACUCAACGGCAGAAGAGCUGCAAGAGGUGUAGGAGUAAUGGCCGUAGAAUCAGCACUAGUAACAGCAGGAACGAGGUCACUGCACAUGGGCUCAGGAGAGGCACACACAACUGAAGGCAGAGUGACUGUGCUCGGGGGAGGGAUCUCAGCAACAGCAGGAAGAUCAGCAAUGAUAACUGGUGUUGCUUCAGUAGUAGUAACUUCAUUUGGUGCUUCACUGGUUUCUGCACCGGUGGUAGGAACAUUUUGAACAAUCGGAGUAACAACUGUUGCCGCUUCUGUUGUUGCUGCAUUCUGGUUUCUGUUAUCGGCUUUCGGAACGUACUGAGUCUUCAUAGGUUCCUUUGACUUGUUACCCUCUCCAUCCGGAACAACAUUUUGCCGAACUGGGCCGGAACGGUCUGAUUUCCGCAACUCGGGUUUGUUGAUGUAGCAGGUGUCAUCAGAGUGGCCCACAUGCUUGCAGGCAGCACAAUACCGAGGCACUUUUUCGAAGAUGAUAUACUGCCAAAACCCAGUGUCUUUUUCCCCAAUCCAUAACCUCUUCAAUAAAGGCCUAGAAAUGUCAUACUCAAUGAGGACUCUGGCAACAGUAGGCCUACUGACCGAGGCGGUGGCAUGAUCGAUCCGAAGAGGUUUCCCGAUGGCAGCAGCAAUGGAAUACAGAGCCUCUUUGCAUCUCAUGUAGUGGACCGGUAAAAACGGCAAGGAGACCCAUAUCGGAACAAUCGGCGACUCUUCCGAACAAUGAAAAGUUGUGGACCAUUUGAAGACCCUCAUAGCUCGGCCAUCAAUAAACCAGGACUGGCGGAGCCAGAUUCUCGUAUAGUCCUCUUCCAGGUGCAGUUGGAUAAGGAUGUGUCGAGGAUCCAAUAAUGAAAUUUCAACAUUUCCUUUCAAGCCAAGAGCCACAAAAAAUUUACGGAUAACAUCAAUAGGGGGGCGGCCGAAAGAAAACUUACCCACUAAAGCGAGCUUGAAUGGUGCGGCCAUGAUGUUAAUUUCUUCCUCGGUGAAAAAAAUGGCCGGCUCACCUCUAUGGGUGGAAGAUUGCCUGAAGGCAAUGGCUGGAGCAGCUCUUUGAGACCCAGCAGCGGCAUCCACAAACGAUUUACAGGGCCGAGCAGUGGGCGAUUUUGCCGCCAUUUGAGCAAACGAUGGAAGCGGCGGAAACUCCAAUGAAGUAGCCGGAUGGCUACCGGCCAUGGCCAGAGAAGCCAUUCGGGCCGAGCUGCGCGACGGGAGACCCCGGGAGAAAAAUGCUCAAAAUCCCAAGUUCUGUGAAUAGUACCCUGAAAACACUGUAGCAAACAGGUACUGUAGCGAUCACGGGUACUGUAGCAACCGGUACUGUAGAGAUCAAUGGCACUGUAGCAAUGAUGAACAAAAUACUGUAGCAAGAAGAACAGCACUGUAGCAGGAAUAGUAAAUCCGAAAUUCAAAUUAUCGUGUAGGCUUCAAAUCACCUCCAAAAUGCUCAUAUAAGGUAUGGAAACGUAGAUCGGUGAGAGGGGAACAAUUCUGAGGGGGAGGUGAGAGUUCACUCGCCGGAAAUUUGACCGGAUCUAGGAUUUAGAUAUCGGCACUAUUCAUUGAAUAGUAAACCGAAACUUCAAAGCUUGAUCGGGUAUUCAAAUCAACUCCAAAAUCCCCAAUAAACACACGGAAAUGUAGAUCAAUGAAGGAUGAAUAUGUUUAAGAGGGAGGUGUGAGCUUACUUGCCGGAAAAUGUGGUCGGAAAACCGAAACUAGCAUUCGGGUACUGUAGCACGCAUAGUAUUCCGACUUCACUUCAAUCUUUCAAGCUCCAAACGUGCACCAAAAUUUCCAAGCAACAUAUCAAAUCGAAGGGAAUUCAAAGGACGACGUGCUGGAAGUGGAGGUGUAGAUUCACUCGCCGGAAAAUUGGCCGGAAAGUGGAAUUAAAGGCUCGGCAUCACAGUAGCGGUUGAGAGAAAAUUGUCACUGUAGCAAAACGCUACUGUAGCAGAUUAGGGAAUAAUGGUUGGUUUUGGUUUAGGGUUUAGGGUUUAGGGUUUAGGGUUUAGGGUUUAGGGUUU